Molecule: ribosomal RNA, 460 nt
Filed under: uncultured bacterium
Lineage: Bacteria
Description: partial 16S ribosomal RNA
Rfam family: Bacterial small subunit ribosomal RNA
Source: RNAcentral
CCUACGGGUGGCAGCAGUGGGGAAUAUUGGUCAAUGGCCGUAAGGCUGACCCAGCCACGUCGCGUGAGGGAAGAAGGAUCUAUGGUUUGUAAACUUCUUUUAUAGGGGAAUAAAGGUAUCCACGUGUGGAUAUUUGCAUGUACCCUAUGAAUAAGCAUCGGCUAACUCCGUGCCGGCAGCCGCGGUAAUACGGAGGAUGCGAGCGUUAUCCGGAUUUAAUGGGUUUAAAGGGUGCGUAGGUUGUUUGUUAAGUCAGCGGUGAAAGUUGAUGGCUCAACCAGAAAACUGCCGUUGAAACUGGAAGACUUGAGUGUGUUUGAGGUAGGUGGAAUGCGUGGUGUAGCGGUGAAAUGCAUAGAUAUCACGCAGAACUUCGAUUGCGAAGGCAGCUUACUAAGCCAUAACUGACACUGAAGCACGAAAGCGUGGGGAUCAAACAGGAUUAGAUACCCGUGUAGUC